This is an RNA transcript of Branchiostoma floridae (Florida lancelet), 3461 nucleotides long. It is a transcript of the gene named galactose-3-O-sulfotransferase 3-like, with no coding region annotated. The transcript has 4 exons. The record is from RefSeq and is a predicted model, not a curated record. Lineage: Eukaryota; Metazoa; Chordata; Leptocardii; Amphioxiformes; Branchiostomatidae.
GUUAGGUUAUGGGUUUAAGAAAAUUACAAAAAAAAAACUGUGCUCACAAAUUGUGGUUAGAUUUAAUCUAUGUUCUGAACUCCACAACCUGAUAUCUUCGUUCGUUGUGAAUCCAGUCUUCAUGACAGAAGUGCAUUGUACAAACUUUCACACUUGAACACAGCAAGAGACAGAGUUGAAUUGAUUUGUGAAUACAUGUACGUAUUGAGCGUGUGCACACCGGAGCCUCUGCACGACUAAAGCUGUGGACCCCCAGGCGGUACCGGUGAUAGGAGACACCCAGUCACACACACGACCCUCACGCUCAUGAAGGGUUUGUUGACUUUGGCCUCGUCCAGUACAUGUUGAGAGUUUGUGGACUGCACCAGUGUCUUGACGUAAACUGCUUCGUUCAGCAGACAUGUUGGGUCACAGUCGCAGAACCUUUGCUGUCCUUCUGAUUGUAACUGCUGUCAGCACACUGCUUUACUCGCGAACCCUGUUUACAAGACAUCACGACCGAAAUCAUUCACUGGCAAGACGGCUAAUGGGCAUGGUCAGAGAAAACCCAUCUUCACCCUUCAACCAAUCACGGUCCCCAACGUCAUCACAGGUAAUUGCGUCAUCACAACCGCCUACGUCAUCGCGGCCAUCUUCGUCAUCAAGACCGCGGCCGACGUGUACGGAGAGAAGACGUCUUGCUUUUGCUAAGAACCACAAAGUAGGAGGUGACACCGUAAAGAGAAUCUUCGAUCGCUUCGGGUAUGUCAGGAAACUCAACUUCGUCCUGCCGCGCUCCCUGGUGGUCAGCAAGAUGUAUCCGUACCAGCUGCACCCUAAGUCCUAUCUGCCUCCGCCUCAGAACCACAGCUUUGACAUGCUGGUGUACCACACCGUGUACGAAAGGGCACGGUACAGAGAAAUCCUCCCAAAGGAUACAGUAUACCUGACUAUUAUUCGUGAACCCCUAAGUCAUCUCAAGUCCACCUGGAACUACUACAAACUACAGAAAAAGUUCCAUAUCGAAGAGAACGGAGAAGACCCGAUUCUAACAUUUUUGGCAAACCCAGGGGAAUAUGACAAAAAGUGUGGCCAUGGCCGCCAUGUUCCCUACUGUCUUACCCAGAAUGCCAUUUCCACUGACCUUGGAUUCCCGGCAUCUACAAACAAGCGAGUAGGUCCCGGAUGUGACACGGACGAGAGAGAGAUAAUUACACAGAAAUUCCUGAAAAUCAUCAAAGACGAUUUUGAUUUGGUCAUGAUGACGGAGUACUUCGAUGAGUCGCUAGUUCUGCUCAAGCGGCUGAUGUGUUGGUCUUUGAAAGACAUUCUCUAUUACAAGACCAACACUCGUAGCUAUGUAAGUAAAGAGAAACAAAUCCCUCCCAAACUCCAUCAGAAUCACAGGGAAUGGAGCCAUGUGGACUAUGCGCUCUAUGAUCAAUUCAAUCAAAGCUUUUGGAGAAGGAUAAAUUCAGCAGGUAACGACUUCUGGGGAGAAGUCAGGUAUUUUAAGCAUGUUAAUGAGCAAAUGAAAGAACUAUGUGAUAAUUACAAGGCAAGCAAACCAUGCUCUAUCUCUACCUUAACUUUUAAGCAGUCAAGGUGGGGUCCAGGUUUUACGGUAGAUAGGAACUUCUGUAUGCUGGCAAAGAGAAGUCUUCGCUGUUAUCUGUUGCUUGAAUCUGAAAGGGCAGCAAAGGCACUGAAACUGAACCGCCGCAACAUUACACUGUAUUCAGAAGUCAACUUGGAAUCUUUCAAAAAGGCUGCAAAAUCGAGAAAAGGACGAACAACAGUGAAGGCAAUAGAUGUGAUAUUAGAAAAUUGCGUCAACUGCAAGUUGAGAGACUGUGGAUCAUUGGACCACCUGUCGCACCUUCACUAUGACGGGUAUGUCAACAGCGCCACCUAUAGUAGUAUCGUGAAUAGGGAGUAUCCAAACUUCGUCAGGAAAUGUAACCUUUAAACCAAACGCUAACAACACCAUGACAUUGGCGUACAUGUAAAUAGUGUUUGGGUAGCCAUUUUCAAUUGAAAUAUUAGCACGGGCUUUUGCAAUUAUUUAUUGAGAUGGACAUGUGCAUUUAUGGUGCUAUGGAAAUUGAAAAGCUACAUUGCGUUAAGUCUCACUUGGAUCUUAUUGCAUUCAUCUGUACGCGAGACUGGCAUGAGGUUUGAACAAAAGGAAGAAAAACAAGAGUCAAAUUAGUCAUCAUACUUGAAAGUUUACAGCAUCAAAUGCAUUACACUGAGUCUUAGUGUUUUUGAAAUGUAAAGCUGUGGCCCUCAUAAAAUAAAGGACAAGUAGAACCAUGUUGUGUUUUUAUGUUGACAAAAAGUUUCCCCAAAGUUCUGAUCUGAAAUUUCUAACCGGUCCGACCGGCUUGACGGCCUCAUUGUCGUGUGUGUCUCCAAAUAUAGGAGAUUAAUCAGAUUUGUAAACAACAAGCUCAUAUAUAUCUUUUUUCAGGACUCUUUUUAUAUCAUACUGUAUAUUAAAAUAUCUAUAGAGUUCUAGUGUACAUAUGUCAGUGUCGCAUAGGAUAUAAGAUUGUGAAUUGCGUUAAAAGCUUUUAAGUCUGGCGUUACACGUGCGUCUGCGUGGAUCAUACAAACAUGAACAUCUCAAAUGUAGACACUAUAACCAUUUCGGUUGAUGUGCAGACCGCACAAUAAUUACUAGUAUCUAAGCCACUCCCUGACUUGAUUACAAUAAAGUACUAGUAAAUCAUUGAGCAAGAGGUCUGUGGUCUCAGACUCAGAGUGUUUUUUCUCGCAGUCAAAAAUGUCGACGAAUCAUUUCUAACAUUGCAUGAAAGGUGGAAAGUGGAUUUGGAGAUUUGCCACUUACAUCGUACUUUAGACGAGGUAAGUUGGUUAUAUAACGCAAUGUAAUGACACAGUCCGUCACCAUGGAGACCAACCGGUUGAGUGGGCAAUGGCGUCUGAAAACACUGGCGUGUAGCCUCCUCCGCCUUCUACAAGCCCUGGUGGUUAUGUUUUUUGAGGGGCAAGUUAGCGUCAACAGAAAGUACACGAGUUGGGCAUACGUAGCGGGAUAAUUAGCGUCCAAUGUCUGCAGGUUUUCACAGGGUUUUGGAUAACCGAAAACAGAAAAUCAUGUUUCACAAAAUGAGACAAAAUUCCGCAUGCUACGUCAACAACAUAUCAUAGACAGACCAGACACGAACAAACCACCACGCCUAGACUGUCUUCGGGGCAGUUGCUGACGUCACAUCAGCUGUAAAUGAAGACACGAUCCAGUGAUCAGCCUUGGUCUCGCCCAGGGUGUCCCCGAUCUGGACGAUAUUGGUAUUAUCUUAUUCGCCGCCGGCCCAAGCAUUGGCCUAUAGGUUGUAUGACUACUGACGUAUCCCAGUCACCACAAUGGCGCGCAAAAGAGACCUGAAAUUUUUCUCCUUUCUCAUGAUCUUCAUGGUCAUGUGUAUAUCUCUGUACCUGGUCAUAUUGAGUCAGCC